RNAcentral lists this small RNA (442 nucleotides) under Oryza sativa Japonica Group (Japanese rice). Its description in RNAcentral is "sRNA Os12g0447000". Lineage: Eukaryota; Viridiplantae; Streptophyta; Magnoliopsida; Poales; Poaceae. The record is from RNAcentral.
CUAGUCCCUCACUCCCUCGCGUCUCUCUCUCUCAGUCUCUCUCUCUCGGGCUCUCGGCGCACGGGAGGGAACGAGCAUAGGCGGCGGCGCACGGGAGGGAGCGCGGGCGGCGGCGCGGCGGCGCAAGGGAGGAAGGGAGCAGGCAGAGGGACCACAAGUGGCGGCACAUAGAUGGCGGCGCACAGCCGCACGGGAGGGAGCAGGCGGUGGCGCACGCAGGCAAGCCUGAUCUUAUGCCAGAUCUGAUAUUGGUGUUGUGACUUGUGAGCUGAGAUUAAGUGUUGAACUGAGAUAUUGCUGGCUUUGUUGUGCAACUGAUGGCUGCCCUGAUUAAUUGAUAUUGCUGGCUUUGUUGUGCAAGUCUUGAUGUUGAUGUCAUGAUGUAGAUGUUGUAAGUGUUGAACUUAAAUUAUGUGUGUAGAUGUGGUUUUGUUGUAACUUU